This 459-nucleotide ribosomal RNA is filed under the name uncultured bacterium. RNAcentral describes it as "bacterial SSU rRNA". It matches the Rfam family "Bacterial small subunit ribosomal RNA", at positions 340 to 786 of the family's 1533-position model. The record is from RNAcentral.
UACGGGAGGCAGCAGUGGGGAAUAUUGCACAAUGGGCGAAAGCCUGAUGCAGCUAUGCCGCGUGUAUGAAGAAGGCCUUAGGGUUGUAAAGUACUUUCAUCGGGGAGGAAAAAAACAAAACUAAUAAUUUUAUUUCUUGACGUUACCCGAAAAAGAAGCACCGGCUAACUCCGUGCCAGCAGCCGCGGUAAUACGGAGGGUGCUAGCGUUAAUCAGAAUUACUGGGCGUAAAGAGCACGUAGGUGGUUUUUUUAAAGUCAGAUGUGAAAUCCCUGGGCUUAACCUAGGAACUGCAUUUUGAAACUGAAAUACUAGAGUAUCGUAGGGGGAGGUAGAAUUCUAGGUGUAGCGGUGAAAUGCGUAGAUAUCUGGAGGAAUACCUGUGGCGAAAGCGGCCUCCUAAACGAAUACUGACACUGAGGGUGCGAAAGCGUGGGGAGCAAACAGGGAUUAGAUACC